GACCCCGCACAAGCGGUGGAUCAUGUUGUUUAAUUCGAUGAUACGCGAAGAACCUUACCAGGCCUUGACAUACUCUGCAAAGCUAUAGAGAUAUAGUGGAGGUUAUCAGAUGUACAGGUGGUGCAUGGUUGUCGUCAGCUCGUGUCGUGAGAUGUUCGGUUAAGUCCGGUAACGAGCGCAACCCCUAUUGUUAGUUGCCAUCAUUAAGUUGGGGACUCUAACGAGACUGCCAGUGACAAACUGGAGGAAGGUGGGGAUGACGUCAAAUCAUCAUGCCCCUUAUGGCCUGGGCUACAAACGUGAUACAAUGGCUGGAACAAAGGGAAGCGAAAGGGUGACCUGGAGCAAAUCUCAUAAAGACAGUCUCAGUUCGGAUUGAAGUCUGCAACUCGACUUCAUGAAGUUGGAAUCGCUAGUAAUCGUGGAUCAGAACGCCACGGUGAAUACGUUCUCGGGGUUU
Molecule: ribosomal RNA, 460 nt
Filed under: uncultured bacterium
Lineage: Bacteria
Description: bacterial SSU rRNA
Rfam family: Bacterial small subunit ribosomal RNA
Source: RNAcentral